UCUGGAGGCGUAGGUUCGAAUCCUGCCGUUGUCG
RNAcentral lists this transfer RNA (34 nucleotides) under Entamoeba ecuadoriensis. Its description in RNAcentral is "tRNA-Ser". The record is from RNAcentral. Lineage: Eukaryota; Evosea; Mastigamoebida; Endamoebidae.